RNAcentral lists this unclassified non-coding RNA (339 nucleotides) under soil metagenome. RNAcentral describes it as "partial contains 5.8S ribosomal RNA, internal transcribed spacer 2, and large subunit ribosomal RNA". The stretch from base 1 to 120 matches the Rfam family "5.8S ribosomal RNA", at positions 35 to 154 of the family's 154-position model. The record is from RNAcentral.
GAUGAAGAACGUAGCGAAAUGCGAUACGUAAUGUGAAUUGCAGAAUUCAGUGAAUCAUCGAGUCUUUGAACGUACAUUGCGCCCCCUGGUAUUCCGGGGGGCAUGCCUGUCCGAGCGUCAUUUCUGCCCUCAAGCACGGCUUGUGUGUUGGGCCGCGUCCCCCCGGGGACGGGCCCGAAAGGCAGCGGCGGCACCGCGUCCGGUCCUCGAGCGUAUGGGGCUUUGUCACCCGCUCUUGUAGGCCCGGCCGGCGCCAGCCGACCCAACCAAUCUUUCUCAGGUUGACCUCGGAUCAGGUAGGGAUACCCGCUGAACUUAAGCAUAUCAAUAAGCGGAGGA